UACGUAGGGGGCGAGCGUUGUCCGGAAUUAUUGGGCGUAAAGAGCGUGUAGGCCGUUCGGUAAGUCUGCCGUGAAAACCUGAGGCUCAACCUCGGGCGUGCGGUGGAUACUGCCGGGCUAGAGGACGGUAGAGGCGAGUGGAAUUCCCGGUGUAGCGGUGAAAUGCGCAGAUAUCGGGAGGAACACCAGUAGCGAAGGCGGCUCGCUGGGCCGUUCCUGACGCUGAGACGCGAAAGCGUGGGGAGCGAACAGG
This 253-nucleotide ribosomal RNA is filed under the name uncultured bacterium. Its description in RNAcentral is "partial 16S ribosomal RNA". It matches the Rfam family "Bacterial small subunit ribosomal RNA", at positions 524 to 776 of the family's 1533-position model. The record is from RNAcentral.